UACGGAAGGGGCAAGCGUUGUUCGGAAUCAUUGGGCGUAAAGGGCGCGUAGGUGGUUCUGUAUGUCUAUCGUGAAAGCGUACGGCUCAACCGUAUUUUGUCGGUAGAAACUGCAGGACUUGAGGCUGGGAGGGGCUGGUGGAAUUCCCUGUGUAGCGGUGAAAUGCGUAGAGAUGGGGGAGAACACUCGUGGCGAAGGCGGCCAGCUAGACCAGUUCUGACACUGAGGCGCGACAGCGUGGGGAGCAAAC
Molecule: ribosomal RNA, 250 nt
Filed under: uncultured bacterium
Lineage: Bacteria
Description: partial 16S ribosomal RNA
Rfam family: Bacterial small subunit ribosomal RNA
Source: RNAcentral